GUCGAACGGUGAAGCCCCGCUUGCGGGGUGGAUCAGUGGCGAACGGGUGAGUAACACGUGAGCAACCUGCCCCUGACUCUGGGAUAAGCGCUGGAAACGGCGUCUAAUACUGGAUACGAGACGUGAUCGCAUGGUCAACGUUUGGAAAGAUUUUUCGGUUGGGGAUGGGCUCGCGGCCUAUCAGCUUGUUGGUGAGGUAAUGGCUCACCAAGGCGUCGACGGGUAGCCGGCCUGAGAGGGUGACCGGCCACACUGGGACUGAGACACGGCCCAGACUCCUACGGGAGGCAGCAGUGGGGAAUAUUGCACAAUGGGCGCAAGCCUGAUGCAGCAACGCCGCGUGAGGGAUGACGGCCUUCGGGUUGUAAACCUCUUUUAGCAGGGAAGAAGCGAGAGUGACGGUACCUGCAGAAAAAGCACCGGCUAACUACGUGCCAGCAGCCGCGGUAAUACGUAGGGUGCAAGCGUUAUCCGGAAUUAUUGGGCGUAAAGAGCUCGUAGGCGGUUUGUCGCGUCUGCUGUGAAAUCUGGGGGCUCAACCCCCAGCCUGCAGUGGGUACGGGCAGACUAGAGUGCGGUAGGGGAGAUUGGAAUUCCUGGUGUAGCGGUGGAAUGCGCAGAUAUCAGGAGGAACACCGAUGGCGAAGGCAGAUCUCUGGGCCGUAACUGACGCUGAGGAGCGAAAGGGUGGGGAGCAAACAGGCUUAGAUACCCUGGUAGUCCACCCCGUAAACGUUGGGAACUAGUUGUGGGGUCCAUUCCACGGAUUCCGUGACGCAGCUAACGCAUUAAGUUCCCCGCCUGGGGAGUACGGCCGCA
This 819-nucleotide ribosomal RNA is filed under the name Microbacterium sp. TCA3-20_Pa. Its description in RNAcentral is "bacterial SSU rRNA". It matches the Rfam family "Bacterial small subunit ribosomal RNA", at positions 61 to 890 of the family's 1533-position model. The record is from RNAcentral. Lineage: Bacteria; Bacillati; Actinomycetota; Actinomycetes; Micrococcales; Microbacteriaceae.